Long non-coding RNA from Carassius gibelio (silver crucian carp), 1250 nucleotides. RefSeq lists it as uncharacterized. The record is from RefSeq and is a predicted model, not a curated record. The transcript has 3 exons. Lineage: Eukaryota; Metazoa; Chordata; Actinopteri; Cypriniformes; Cyprinidae.
ACCAAGGUGACUGAGUGUUUUAUAGGUUACCUUGGCGAUUUGAAAGCUUUGGUAGGUUACCAUAGUGAUUUAGAAUCUUUUAUGGGUUACCAAGGUGACUGAGUGUUUUAUAGGUUACCUUGGCGAUUUGAAAGCUUUGGUAGGUUACCAUAGUGAUUUAGAAUCUUUUAUGGGUUACCAAGGUGACUGAGUGUUUUAUAGGUUACCUUGGCGAUUUGAAAGCUUUGGUAGGUUACCAUAGUGAUUUAGAAUCUUUUAUGGGUUACCAAGGUGACUGAGUGUUUUAUAGGUUACCUUGGCGAUUUGAAAGCUUUGGUAGGUUACCAUAGUGAUUUAGAAUCUUUGAUGGGUUACCAAGGUGACUGAGUGUUUUAUAGGUUACCUUGGCGAUUUGAAAGCUUUGGUAGGUUACCAUAGUGAUUUAGAAUCUUUGAUGGGUUACCAAGGUGACUGAGUGUUUUAUAGGUUACCUUGGCGAUUUGAAAGCUUUGGUAGGUUACCAUAGUGAUUUAGAAUCUUUGAUGGGUUACCAAGGUGACUGAGUGUUUUACAGGUUACCUUGGCGAUUUGAAAGCUUUGGUAGGUUACCAUAGUGAUUUAGAAUCUUUGAUGGGUUACCAAGGUAAUUAAGUGUUUUAUAGGUUACUAUAUAGAUCAAGAAUCUUUCAUGGGCUACCAAAGUGAUUGAGAGUUUUUGAAGGGUUACCAAGGUGAUCAAGAGGUUUUUUUAUAUGGGUUAGCAUAGUGAUAUGAAUCUUUGACAGGUUACCAAAUAAUUGUUUUUUGUAGGUUACUAAAGUGAUCAAGAAUGUUUAUUGGGUUUCCAUGGUAAGUGAUUGUUCUGAAGGUUACAAAGGUAAUUGAGAUAAUUUUUAUGGGUUACCAUGGAGCUUGAGAAGCGUUGAUAGGUUGCCAUGGUGAUUUAAAAUCAUUGAUGGGUUACCAUGGUAAUUACUUGUAUUAUAGGUUACUAAGGCAAUCAAGGAUCUAUGAUGGGUUACCUAGAUAAUUCACUGUUUUAUAAGUUACUAAGGUGAUCGAGACUUUUCAUAGGUUACUAUGGUGAGAAUCUUUGAUGGGUUACCAUGGUAAUCAAGUGGUUUGUGGGUUAUUAAGGUGAUCGAGAUUAAUUUAUGGGUUACCAAGGUGACCGAGAAUGUUGGAUAGGUUACCAAGGUACUCAAGAAAGAUACUUUAUGGGUUUCUAAAGUGAUUGAGAGUCUUUAAUAAGUUAAAAAAGUAAUCAAGUG